UUUAAAAUGAUAUUUCAGAGGAAUCUUUGUUAAACAUCCUCAACCUAUUUAGUAUACAAGUGAAUAAACUUUUGUUUGACAGCUUUUUAAUAUUAACUGAAAUGGUCAGUCUAUGUUGGACAUAUUUGAUAUGAUAAGAAAAUAAUAAGAGGCGGGGCCAAGAGGGGGAGGCGGGGCUUAUCAAAUAGAAAGCAGUGCUCUCAAGUGACUGCCGCCGCCACAGAAGCCAUCGUCGCAGUAAGUGUCAAAAAGAGGUCCAGAAAGUCGAAACCCUGCCACAGGUGCUUCUGAUCAAUCGACAGCUACACGACGAGCUUUACCAAACUAAAAACUAAAACCAAGACCGGGAUUUGACACCUCUGGCGCAACCUGGGUUCAAACACUGCGCGGGCAGGCUGGCUAUUUCUCGACUGGCCGCGUUGUCUGGAAAAGCCUGGCAGAAGGCACCGACAGCACGCUGUGGGGAAUGCCUGGUAAAGGAACGAUGCUCUCCAUCCAUAUUCGGGACAUUCUUCUCCAUCAAAUUGGUGCUUGUCCAGGACAGACACUGUUCACAACAACAAAAAGUAGCUUAAUGGCGUAAAAGUAGCACAGGCAGUACAGUGUCUAAGUCUUCCGCCAUUCCAAGGUUCUUGUGUCUUAACCGCAAUGACAAGAAUGUUUUAACAACCUCCUUCUGCGAAACUCAAAAGUACAUCGCAAUUGUGGUUAUCAGUUUGGAAUGCUGAAUUAAGAGCAUUACCUAAUCAUUUUGCAAAAGCAAAACAGUCUCCUGUUAGCUGUGAGCGCCACCAUGCGGGCCGCCGAAAAGGACUGCAUAGGUCAGCGAUUUCCAAACUACGGCUCGGCCAUUUGCGGCCCACGGCAUAUGCUAAAAAUUCCAUUUGUUAUUGAGCGCAAAGCAGUGUUAGAAGUGUGGCUGUUAAAAUAGUGGGGGGUCAUGAAUUGGAAAUUUCCAGCGGUACUGAACAGUCAUAACGUGAUCAUUUGUUUUAAAAUGAUUUGAAUGAAGUGUGUGUAUGAGUGUGCUCUUUCCAGUAAGCCAGCAAAUGUCAUCAUGCAUGAGGUCAUGCAUAUAUAUGUAAAAUAAAAUAAUUUAAAAAAGAGCUAUCUGGGCUUUACACACCUACAAAUGCAUAUUUGCAUGAGGUGUGACUUAUGAUUAAUUGCCUGGUUUGGCAAUAAUGAAAUACA
Molecule: long non-coding RNA, 1194 nt
Organism: Syngnathus acus (greater pipefish)
Lineage: Eukaryota; Metazoa; Chordata; Actinopteri; Syngnathiformes; Syngnathidae
Exons: 4
Source: RefSeq, a predicted model, not a curated record